UAAACUAUGGUGUAACUACACCCGCCAGAGAAUUACAACGCCUAGCUUGAAACUCAAAAGACUUGACAGUAUCUCACACACCCCUAGAGGAGCCUGUCCUAUAAUCGAUAACCCACGCUAAACCUUACCUGCCCUUGAACAAAUCAGCCUAUAUACCUCCGUCGCCAGUCCGCCUGUCAACAGUUAAUAAAGCGCGUACAAUAGCCCAUCGCUCACACGACAGGUCAAGGUGUAGCUAAUGGGCAUAGGCAGAGAUGGGCUACAUUUUCUCCACUAGAAAACACCUAAAAUGCAAUGAAAUGUGACUUGUAAGGUGGAUUUAGCAGUAAGCGAGGUCAGACAAGCCCCACUGAAGCCUUCCAUGAGAUGUGUACACACCGCCCGUC
Molecule: ribosomal RNA, 386 nt
Filed under: Uroplatus fiera
Lineage: Eukaryota; Metazoa; Chordata; Lepidosauria; Squamata; Gekkonidae
Description: partial small subunit ribosomal RNA
Rfam family: Bacterial small subunit ribosomal RNA
Source: RNAcentral